This 111-nucleotide small nuclear RNA is filed under the name Fundulus heteroclitus (mummichog). RNAcentral describes it as "U5 spliceosomal RNA (ENSFHEG00000020875.1)". It matches the Rfam family "U5 spliceosomal RNA". Rfam says of the family: U5 RNA is a component of both types of known spliceosome. The precise function of this molecule is unknown, though it is known that the 5' loop is required for splice site selection and p220 binding, and that both the 3' stem-loop and the Sm site are important for Sm protein binding and cap methylation. Lineage: Eukaryota; Metazoa; Chordata; Actinopteri; Cyprinodontiformes; Fundulidae. The record is from RNAcentral.
CACUCUUGUUACUUUUCAGAUCGUAUAAGUCUUUCGUCUUUCACUAAAGAUUUCCAUGGAGAGGAACAACAGGAGUUUACCUGAAUUUUUGCUUAGGUUAAGCAUAACAUG